This 66-nucleotide transfer RNA is filed under the name Typhoptera quadrituberculata. RNAcentral describes it as "tRNA-Gly". Lineage: Eukaryota; Metazoa; Arthropoda; Insecta; Orthoptera; Tettigoniidae. The record is from RNAcentral.
AUUUACUUAGUAUAUUAAGUACUUUUGACCUCCAAUCAAAAAGUUUGGAAAUAACCAAAGUGAAUA